Molecule: ribosomal RNA, 462 nt
Filed under: uncultured bacterium
Lineage: Bacteria
Description: bacterial SSU rRNA
Rfam family: Bacterial small subunit ribosomal RNA
Source: RNAcentral
AUUGAACGCUGGCGGCAUGCCUUACACAUGCAAGUCGAACGGCAGCACGGGAGCAAUCCUGGUGGCGAGUGGCGAACGGGUGAGUAAUAUAUCGGAACGUGCCCAGUCGUGGGGAUAACGUAGCGAAAGCUACGCUAAUACCGCAUACGAUCUAUGGAUGAAAGCGGGGGAUCGCAAGACCUCGCGCGAUUGGAGCGGCCGAUAUCAGAUUAGGUAGUUGGUGAGGUAAAGGCUCACCAAGCCGACGAUCUGUAGCUGGUCUGAGAGGACGACCAGCCACACUGGGACUGAGACACGGCCCAGACUCCUACGGGAGGCAGCAGUGGGGAAUUUUGGACAAUGGGCGCAAGCCUGAUCCAGCAAUGCCGCGUGCAGGAUGAAGGCCUUCGGUGUAACUGCUUUGUACGGAACGAACGGUAGAGCUCUAAUACAGUUGCGUAAUGACGGUACCGUAAGAAUAAG